AAUAAGUUCUUUUGUGGGUUUCUUUAUGUGUAACAUUUGACCGUCUGUCUUAUUUAUUUAAAUUUUUUUAUGAUUAGUAUUUUGAUUGUUAUUAGAUGUGAAAAUAUGAAUAGUGCUUUAUGCAUGACUUGUUUUUAUUAAUUUUUUCAUAAAAUUUUCAAAUAAGACGGACGGUCAAACGUUGAACACAAAAAACCACCAAUGAACUUAUU
This is a non-coding RNA of Oryza glumipatula, 212 nucleotides long. The record is from Rfam. NCBI's taxonomy places the organism in Eukaryota, Viridiplantae, Streptophyta, Magnoliopsida, Poales, Poaceae.